CUCCUGGAUAGGAAAACAUUCAUGAAUGCCACAAUCUUCAUAAAAACUUCAUAAGCAGGACUUAGGAACAAAUUUGUUCUUAAGAACGGCUCGUGAAUGAGGCCCAUUGACCUAACAUUCCCUCAACUCUCCACUCA
Thalassophryne amazonica is the source of this 137-nucleotide long non-coding RNA. RefSeq lists it as uncharacterized. The transcript is spliced from 3 exons. The record is from RefSeq and is a predicted model, not a curated record. NCBI's taxonomy places the organism in Eukaryota, Metazoa, Chordata, Actinopteri, Batrachoidiformes, Batrachoididae.